GCGGUAUACGUAGGCGCAAGCGUAUCCGGAAUUAUGGGCGUAAGAGCUCGUAGGCGGUUUGUCGCGUCUGCUGUGAAAGCCCGGGGCUCAACCCCGGGUCUGCAGUGGGUACGGGCAGACUAGAGUGAUGUAGGGGAGACUGGAAUUCCUGGUGUAGCGGUGAAAUGCGCAGAUAUCAGGAGGAACACCGAUGGCGAAGGCAGGUCUCUGGGCAUUAACUGACGCUGAGGAGCGAAAGCAUGGGGAGCGAACAGGAUUAGAUACCCUGGUAGUCCAUGCCGUAAACGUUGGGCACUAGGUGUGGGGGACAUUCCACGUUUUCCGCGCCGUAGCUAACGCAUUAAGUGCCCCGCCUGGGGAGUACGGCCGCAAGGCUAAAACUCAAAGGAAUUGACGGGGGCCCGCACAAGCGGCGGAGCAUGCGGAUUAAUUCGAUGCAACGCGAAGAACCUUACCAAGGCUUGACAUGAACCGGUAAAGCGUAGAAAUACGCUCCCCACUUGUGGCCGGUUUACAGGUGGUGCAUGGUUGUCGUCAGCUCGUGUCGUGAGAUGUUGGGUUAAGUCCCGCAACGAGCGCAACCCUCGUUCUAUGUUGCCAGCGGGUUAUGCCGGGGACUCAUAGGAGACUGCCGGGGUCAACUCGGAGGAAGGUGGGGACGACGUCAAAUCAUCAUGCCCCUUAUGUCUUGGGCUUCACGCAUGCUACAAUGGCCGGUACAAAGGGUUGCGAUACUGUGAGGUGGAGCUAAUCCCAAAAAGCCGGUCUCAGUUCGGAUUGAGGUCUGCAACUCGACCUCAUGAAGUUGGAGUCGCUAGUAAUCGCAGAUCAGCAACGCUGCGGUGAAUACGUUCCCGGGCCUUGUACACACCGCCCGUCAAGUCACGAAAGUUGGUAACACCCGAAGCCGGUGGCCUAACCCCUUGUGGGAGGGAGCCGUCGAA
This 944-nucleotide ribosomal RNA is filed under the name Arthrobacter gandavensis. Its description in RNAcentral is "bacterial SSU rRNA". It matches the Rfam family "Bacterial small subunit ribosomal RNA", at positions 517 to 1460 of the family's 1533-position model. Lineage: Bacteria; Bacillati; Actinomycetota; Actinomycetes; Micrococcales; Micrococcaceae. The record is from RNAcentral.